Molecule: ribosomal RNA, 271 nt
Filed under: Shigella flexneri
Lineage: Bacteria; Pseudomonadati; Pseudomonadota; Gammaproteobacteria; Enterobacterales; Enterobacteriaceae
Description: partial 16S ribosomal RNA
Rfam family: Bacterial small subunit ribosomal RNA
Source: RNAcentral
AAAUUGAAGAGUUUGAUCAUGGCUCAGAUUGAACGCUGGCGGCAGGCCUAACACAUGCAAGUCGAACGGUAACAGGAAGCGCUUGCUGCUUCGCUGACGAGUGGCGGACGGGUGAGUAAUGUCUGGGAAACUGCCUGAUGGAGGGGGAUAACUACUGGAAACGGUAGCUAAUACCGCAUAACGUCGCAAGACCAAAGAGGGGGACCUUCGGGCCUCUUGCCACCGGAUGUGCCCAGAUGGGAUUAGCUUGUUGGUGGGGUAACGGCUCACC